GCCGGGAUGGCGGAACAGGCAGACGCGUCGGUCUCAAAAACCGAUCCCCAUUUUGGGGGUGGGGGUUCGAGCCCCCCUCCCGGCACCA
This 88-nucleotide transfer RNA is filed under the name Chloroflexota bacterium. RNAcentral describes it as "Chloroflexi bacterium tRNA-Leu". It matches the Rfam family "tRNA". Rfam says of the family: Transfer RNA (tRNA) molecules are approximately 80 nucleotides in length. Lineage: Bacteria; Bacillati; Chloroflexota. The record is from RNAcentral.